UACGUAGGGUGCUAGCGUUGUUCGGAAUCAUUGGGCGUAAAGCGCGUGUAGGCUGUUAGUUAAGUCGGGUGUGAAAUCUCUGGGCUCAACCGAGGAAGUGCAUUCGAAACUAACUAGCUGGAAGGUGGUAGAGGAAGGUGGAAUUCCUAGUGUAGAGGUGAAAUUCGUAGAUAUUAGGAGGAAUACCGGUGGCGAAGGCGGCCUUCUGGACCAUUCUUGACGCUGAGACGCGAAAGCGUGGGGAGCAAACAG
RNAcentral lists this ribosomal RNA (252 nucleotides) under uncultured bacterium. RNAcentral's name for it is "partial 16S ribosomal RNA". It matches the Rfam family "Bacterial small subunit ribosomal RNA", at positions 524 to 775 of the family's 1533-position model. The record is from RNAcentral.